CUUAAAUACCCCUUCUCCCAGCUACUCGGGAUUGAACUCUCUACCCCUGCGUUUUAGCCCCAGGGCACUGGUUCCUGUCCUGUCAACAAACCUCGUGUGAUUGCAGCAAGGACAGUCUCUCAUACCACUAAUUGCUGCAUGCUUUCAUCUUGAACAUGAAAGAUUACUCAGUUAACCACAGAAAUGAACGGGAAGAUUGCAUCAUAUUUGGAGGAGUUGAAGAAACUGAAUUUAUAGCGGUAUAGCUGAAGGAGUGCGAGGGGAGUAGAAAUGAAAAAUCAGAUGAGAAGCUUGAGCGCAUAAAAUGAACAAACCCGAGCAUCAAAGAUGGACGCCUACCCUUUUCUCAGAGCAAGUGGACACCGUGUUUCCAUGUACUUCCCAUGCGUGAUGCUGUACAAAAUCUGCGUGUGUUGGGAGCCCUGCUCUCUCAACUUCCGCAACAAUGAAGAACUGCCUGGGGGUGGUACCCUGGUCCAUAAAGGCAGACUGGGAACAUCGGUGGGCAAGAGGACCUGGAAUGAGUGCUCUGUGAGGGCAAAGGGCAGCAGGCCUCUGUGUGAACUUUCCCCCAAGGAGAUUUAAGACCCAAGAGUAAGUCAGUGUUCUGAGUGUGGCUCAGUCAACACAGGUGAUGCUAGGAUUAACCUACUCCAAGUAGUGACAGCACUAAUACACUUUGGAUGUUCAGAGAGCUAAACCUCGUCUCCCCACUACCCUGCCCCCAUGGCAAGCCCUUGUUUUUUCUAAGACGAGCCUUCUCAAGAAACAUCUCACACCAACAAAAGUAGGCUUCUGGUACAGCAUAUCAUCCCAGCAGAAAAGGCAAAAAUCUUUGUAAUCAAGGACAGAGAAGCAUCUGAUAGGGUAGUGCCCACCUGGAGCAGAAGGGAAUGGUUGGACAUCAGACAUCUCUGGGCCAAUGGGAGGCCAGAACUCUGGCAUGCCUGAGAGCGGUCCCCACAGAGGAGGCUGGCCGAAGGCAAAUCCAUUGCCAUGGCUGCGCUGCAGCUCCCCAUGCCUUAAGUGGGCCAGGAGAUUGGUGUUAAGUGAGAAUGCCCUGUUCCUGGUACUUGUGCCAGCGUCUGGAGAACACUCGUCAAUUAUGUGAAUGACAUACGAAGGUGUUUGGUCCCAUUCUGUGAGAUUUCAUUUUCUCUCCCUGACAUCGGAGUGCUACCCUCUAAUCUGAUUCUGAAGGCGUGUGAAAUGACUGCCGAAUUAGAAGGGCAUGCAUUGUGAAAAUUACAGGUGAGCUGCAGUGUUAACGUAAAGGGAUAAAUGGUGAUUUACAAACAACAGUCCACAGUAAUUGCAAAACAAUCAUGUAGAACAGGAUGCAUGGAGAUAUGCAUACAUCUUGAUGAAACCUGCCCUGGAUCCCUCCUGAACUGCAGUCUCCCUCCAGAGAGCAGACGGUUGGGAAGGGCCCAUGCUGACAGCUGAGGCAAGUGGUUAGCACCCUGGGACCCUGCUAGUCUUGCACUAUACACACACCCCUAACAUUGUACUUAACAACCUGAGUUCCUUGUCUGCAGGUAUGACUUACUUAUGCCCCUCUAUGACAACUCACCUAGCACCUGUUAGCAACCUUAGGGCCCUACCUCCUUUGAGCUGUAUAAAGUCCCCACUCUGGACAGUGGACUAGGACUCCCCUAUUACAGACAAAUUCUAUUCUUUUCCAAUUCAUCUGGGAAUUUUGUACAAUGGGCCGGUGUGACCAGACUGGUUUUGAGUGGAAGAAUAAUAAAAAAAAACUCUCCUCUAAGUGAAAUGUUAGGGAGAACCCCGUAUUUACCAUUUUAUGUAAAAUUGGGUAUGCAAUAUAAUUAAGACCGGCUGCAUUAUGGGAAGGGAUGUGGGUGCUAAAAAUGAUUAUAUAACCUAAUCUAUCAGUCAAAAUAGAGAAACGCUGUCACUAUGUCCCUUAGCAACCAAACUCUUCAUCUUGAACCCCACAAAGGGAAGCCCCAAACACUGAUUGGAGGAGCCCUUGUGUACUGUGACUAGAACUAGAAACACCAGGCUCAGACGCUGACCACUUGUAACACUGCAGCACUGUGGGAGAGGAAGUUAGGAGUUUGGUUAUGUGUAGAAUCUUAAAAUUCUAAGACACCUGGCUGGGCCACAGUCAAGGUCUAGGAAACAUGCUCAAGAGAGUCUUUAAUGCCCUUUUCCCAAACCCACGCUGCAGUGCAGGCAGCCCCUGCUCACUCCUGUAUAAUGUCUUCCCCUGUGGAAAGAAGUCGAGUUCUAGCAACUGGCCUUCCUGGCGCCAAACAAACUUCAGAGCUGAGUCAUAGCUGGCCAACCCUUCCGGAUACCUGUGACCCACGCGUGACCCAGGCCUAGAAAGGCUAGAGAUUCCUGCUUUCUCACUGAUAGACCCUGGGGCCUUAACAAACCACAGAGGAAAUGGUUCCUGAGCCUGGGUCAGAUCUGGAGCAACAUUUGAGAGUGGGUUUGAGAAAGAUUCUGAGCAUGUCAGUUGGCCCAUGUCCAGACACUCUAGGUAACAGUGUGGGCAAUGAAUCAAACGGCAAAGUGUUUCCUCCUGUUAGAGUUUGUUCAAAGUAAUAACAUCACUGACUAACUAGUAUGACCAGCUAGAUUAACCAGAGUGACAUGAGAAAAUGAUCCCGCCUCCAAGAACUGAGUGUGACAUUCAUAAAAUAAAAGCUUUCUACUCGGCUGAACCUGUAAACCAUGAACUUCUGUCAGGAUUUAUGAUAGGAAACACAGAUUUUACAUAGCUUAGGAUAUAAAUAUUAAAACAAAAAGUCUAAGUCUUGAUUUUUCUAGAAUUCCCAAACCAUAUUUUCCAAAGAACCCCAUUAAAACUACUUUAGUUAAAAGAUGUCUGACUGGCACAGCAUCCUAAUAAUAGGCUCACUACACUUUAUUAAAAUCUCUAAUAUUAUUUAAGUUAAAAUAAAAUUUCAAUAUCAGAUAAAGCUUGGACUAUAAGAAUGAGCCUUUUGCACAGAACCCGACAACCCCUAAGCAUGGUUAUGCUAAGGAAUAUUAUAACUGAUUUUCUGUCCCCGUGUGCAUUUAUUCUUACUGUCUUUUUAAGCUUAUGGCUUCAACGGGGGUGUGAUGUCUUCCUUCUUCAUCCCAAUAAUAUGUAAUUCAUUGCUCUAAAUAUAGUUAGCAUCGAGUAAUUUUUGUUAUUGACUGAAUUCAGGCAAU
Long non-coding RNA from Alexandromys fortis (reed vole), 3192 nucleotides. RefSeq lists it as uncharacterized. The record is from RefSeq and is a predicted model, not a curated record. The transcript has 3 exons. Lineage: Eukaryota; Metazoa; Chordata; Mammalia; Rodentia; Cricetidae.